Talpa occidentalis (Iberian mole) is the source of this 375-nucleotide long non-coding RNA. RefSeq lists it as uncharacterized. Lineage: Eukaryota; Metazoa; Chordata; Mammalia; Eulipotyphla; Talpidae. The transcript is spliced from 3 exons. The record is from RefSeq and is a predicted model, not a curated record.
AGGCUGCCUGUGUGCUACACAUACUGGUUGAAGAGCUCAAAUCCUGUGGAAUAAGAUGUGUGGGUGUGAUGACCAUUGGCUCCCCCAGCAGGCAUUAGUCCUUGCGCUUAUUGAAUUCUCUAAGUCAAGAGGCAUUUCCUUAGGAAGAUGGCUGUGUGCCCGGAGGAAAAUUUGUAUAUAGGAAGACACAAUGAGAAGGAACUUUCUACAAGUCAGGAAGAGAGGUCUCACCAGAAAAAAAAAAAACUUAGCACCUUGACUUUGGACUUCUGAUCCCAAGAACUAUGCAGCUGACCUGGCGUAUGAAGCUGUGGGAAGUACAACCACAGAUAAGAUGGAACUGCUGUAUGUGCUAAGAAAAUAAACAUUUUUUAU